UGAACGCUGGCGGCGUGCCUACUACAUGCAAGUCAAGCGACCAGAUGAGGAGCUUGCUCCUCUGACGUUAGCGGCGGACGGGUGAGUAACACGUGGAUAACCUACCUAUAAGACUGGGAUAACUUCGGGAAACCGGAGCUAAUACCGGAUAAUAUAUUGAACCGCAUGGUUCAAUAGUGAAAGACGGUUUUGCUGUCACUUAUAGAUGGAUCCGCGCCGCAUUAGCUAGUUGGUAAGGUAACGGCUUACCAAGGCAACGAUGCGUAGCCGACCUGAGAGGGUGAUCGGCCACACUGGAACUGAGACACGGUCCAGACUCCUACGGGAGGCAGCAGUAGGGAAUCUUCCGCAAUGGGCGAAAGCCUGACGGAGCAACGCCGCGUGAGUGAUGAAGGUCUUCGGAUCGUAAAACUCUGUUAUUAGGGAAGAACAAAUGUGUAAGUAACUAUGCACGUCUUGACGGUACCUAAUCAGAAAGCCACGGCUAACUACGUG
This 495-nucleotide ribosomal RNA is filed under the name uncultured bacterium. RNAcentral's name for it is "partial 16S ribosomal RNA". It matches the Rfam family "Bacterial small subunit ribosomal RNA", at positions 30 to 507 of the family's 1533-position model. The record is from RNAcentral.